AGCUGAGACAAGCAUGUCCCAGUAUAGACUGUGCAAGUGUCCUGUUCACGUGGCAUUCUUCCCAAAUUGACCAAUUGCCUGUCCCCCGACCUCUCCAAGGGUGGAGUGGGUGAAUGGGUGAAGAGAUGAGGGUGAAGAGACGCUCGGAGGUGAGAACUGUUAUCACUCAUGUUGCAUGGAUGAAGCAACUGAAGCUCACAGAGUCCAGGAACUUGCCCAAGAUCACACAAUGAGGAAUGAAGCCAGGAUUUGGACCUGGGCCGUCCAACUCAAGAGCUCGCAGCUCCCUCCCAGUGCCCUCCUGCUGAUGUCCCUACGCAGCCCGGGUCAGGGCUCCCUCAGGCCCAGGGCAGCUUUUUCUGCUCUCAGAACGAUGAGAAGAGUCCCAAGGAGAAGGGUCACAUCUGGUUUGUUCUUCUGCCUCUCCCCACGGCAUCUAGCAAAGAGCGCAUGUCAUCGGCGUUGGUAACCAACUCCAUAAAUAAUGUGGUGAAAAGGCAACGCAGGAGACAGAGCAGCAUGUCCAAGUCCGUUUCACAGUCCGCCGGCUGAGGGAGCACAGUCAAGCCUUUCAACCUCACCGAGCCUCAGCCCUCUUGUCUUUGCAAAGGUGGCCUUGAUUCAGUCCCUAUUUAUGCCAUAGGGUUGUUGUCGUGCUCAAAUGAGAGAGCCAACACGGAACGACUUAUCGUCUCAGCUAUAGACGUGCCACAUGGUUAUUAGGUCACGCUGGUCUGCCAGAGACAAUCCGCACGGAAAGUGGACAAGGGCAGCCAGCCCGGGCGACGCUGGCACUCCAGUUCUCCAGGGACAGGGUCUCGUGUUUAGGCCUUUGGGGGAACAUUUAAGCUAUGAGGCCGCAGAGCAGAGACGCUGCCAUUUUAUUUUAAGCACAGCAAUAAGCACAAUAAAAACAAGGCCUGCUGAAGGCCGGCGGCGAUGAAAUACUUCCUCAGAGGACAUUAAGGAGUCAGCCUCUUCCUUUCUCAGCAGUGUUUCUGUAAUGUCCUUUUUCCAUCUGUCCCUACCACCGAGACACUUGUUCACACCCGGCCUGUUUCCUGCCUGGAUCCCUGCCACCUCCCACUGCCUGACUUGCUAUCUCUUGCCUCCUGACCCCACUUCAGCGCCAGACGGUUCAGGAUGCCACUCCUCAAUUCAACUUGGAGUGGCUUCUGGGUUUCUGCACCACCUGCCUUUUCUGUUCUGAGGCGCAGAGAUCUUCUUAAAAAUCACCUUUCAAUGUCACUCCAUUGUUUCCUGUCAUCCUUUCUUCCCCAAUUUUGGAUUUUGUUUGGUUUUCUUCCUAAAAUUGCUGGCUAAAAGGAAAAGCUCAAAGUGACUUCUUUACUUCCUGGUUUGUUUUUUCUUUUUGUUGCUUUUAACAUAAAUGAAUUUCUCCAUCUCUAGAAAGUAAAAGCAACGUAUAACCAAAACCCCAGCACCACAAGACGAUUUUGAAGUUUGGGCAGGAAAUCCUAGGAGAUUAACAUGAAAGGGAAGUCUUAUCUUGCAAACAUUUGCUGGUGAACCCCGUCAUUCAGCAACGCACCCCCAGCUCUGACUAUUCUGAUCUCUUGGUCAAAAUCUAUGCAAGAGUUUUGCUCCCGGAUUUUCUCCUCCUAAACCUGCACCAAAAUUCCUUUUUUUCUGACCAUCUGGUCUUCUCAUCUAACUUGGCCAAGCACAGCUUGACAACUCUCCCCUACUGCGAUGGCACAAAGGGAAGAAAUGAAGACCUGAAAUCAGCCUGAUACAGUCUCAGACUUCAAUUCCAUGCUACUUAAGGUGAAAUAAACCAUCAAAGUGAUAUAUUAGGAAACUAUGCACAGCAAAGCCGCGUUCAUUCAAAACUAAAGGCAGGGAAGAAAUGGAUUUAGAAUUAAUAGUUCUGGUGCUUUGGGAAGAAACGACUGGAAGUUCUUUCCCACUGCGCCUUCCUUCAAAAUAAUAAUGGCCAACAGCAUUUGCAUUAUUCUUCACAGUCAACAGAGAGCUUUUACAAAUGGGAGGACAUCAAAGAAGAUCAAAAUACUAAUUUAUAUUUGACUCUUUCUAUUUUCAAAGCCCUUUUAGAUUGGAUACCUCAAUUCAUCCUCUCCUAAAUUUUGGAAGAUGGAUAAAGCGGGCUUUAUUCAAUCCAUCAUUCAUCUAUUUAACUCGUGUUUGUUGAAUGCCUCCAGUGGAUGCCUGGCACUCUUUUAGGUCCUGGAGACACAAAGCAUUGAAUAAAACCGAUGAAGUUUCUGAUCUCAUGGAGCUUCUGCUCUGUUCCCAGUAAGCAAAUGGGAACAAAUAUAGAAUAUAUCAGAUGGGAUACAGUGGGGGUAAAAGCAGAAAAAAUUACAGCAAGGUAAGGGGCAUAGAGAGUCAUAGAGGAGGGCUGCACUGUUUUCUAUAGGGUGAUCUCUGAUGAAGGGGUACUUGCGGCGAGCCCUAAGGGCUGAGAAUCGCAGAUGCUGGGGCAAGAGGCUUCCAAGGGCUCGGAGGAAGCAUUUAGACGGGAACGCAUACGGCUUGUUAGAAAACCAGCAAGGAGGCCAGCGUGGCCGAAGCAGAGUGAGCAAGGCAGAGAGCGCUAGGAAAUGAGGUCAGAGAGAUAAGAGAGAUGAGCCAUGGAAGGCCCUGCCAGACGCUGCAAGGGCUUGGGCUUCUAGCCUGAGCCAGCGGGAAGUCUUCCCACAAUUUUAAGCAGAGGAACAUGAUCUGACUUACAUUUCGAGACAGUUACUCUGGCACAGACUGCGUGCCAUCCCCGCCUCUUUCUUGCGUAAUAAUGGAAAACACAAAUUUUUAAUUGGACCCGUGGCAUCCUAGAAUCAAGACUCUAUUUCCCAGCAUCUCUUGCUUGUAGGUAUAGCUGUUACCACAUGAAAAUGGGGUUCUCCUACAUGAUGUGCAUUUAAAAGACAAUUAAUUAUGGCAUUGGCUUUGGGGAAAGAAAACAGUUUUAUGGAGAGAUGGAUCUGCAAGGAGACAGGAGGCAUGUGCCCUCAGUCUCCCGGAUCCAGGGCUUGGGGCACAAUUUAUGGGAUGAAGGGCAGGGCGGUCUAAAGGUGGAGAUAGAUGAGUGGAGGUAGGAGAAGUGAGGUAAUUGAUGGUCUGCUCAAGCAUAGUCAAGUUUCAUGGCUCGUCAUCGGAUGCCCGUUCACAAAAUGGUGGUGUUCCCAUGAUCUGAGGGUGCAGUUUUCAGCCCCUUGACAUCAAAAAGGUCACUUACUGGGCACUUGCAACGGCCCAGCUGAUGGGUUGGUGGUCUCAACUGGCCUGAACUGGACAAGGAGUCUCAGUUCCUGAAAAACUACUCUUAAUUACUCUGUUGAUAAGAUGGGGUCAGUUGUACUGGUCCUAGAGGGCCCAUGAUUAUAUAGCUGUAUGACAAAGUCUGGCCAAUGGGCAAAAAGUGGAAGUAUAACAUGGUGCUUCCAAAAAUCAUGUACCUUUUGACCCUUUUCUUCUUUACUUUGUCCUUCAUCUUCUGCCUGGAAGGCAGAUGUGAUGGUUGGAUCUCCAGCUGCUACAUUGGAUCAUGAGGAGAAAGGCCAUCCAUCUGGAUGGGAUAGUGACGAUUUGGAAGAAGCUUAAGUCCCCAAGGACUUUAUGGAGCAGAUCAUACCUGUCCACACAGGCCACCUCCAGACAUUUAUUUUGUGCCUCUGUUUCUGGUAGCUGAGCCUGGUCCUAAUUGGUACAAUCUUUCAGGCCACUGUGUAGAGAAUAAACCACAAGGGGACAAGGGCAAAAACAGGAAUAAUUUCUAUCUUGUAAAUGAGAACCCUGAAGCUUUAAGAAAUUAAGUGAAGAACACUGGGAUUGUGGUUAAAAACAUUGGCUUUUAAAGUCAACAAACCUGUCAUAUUUAAAUCCUGCCUCCAACGCUUUCUAGCCUUGGAAGCUUGGGCAAGUUCCUUAGUGUCCCCAAGCCUUGAUUUAUGGGGAUGAUAACAGAACCAACCUCAGACUAUUACUGUGAGUAUGAAAUAAAAAGACUUGACACGGCCUGGCAAAGUUGGACUCCUCACCAGCUAGGUCCCUGUUCCUCCUCUUCUCUGUACCUUUCCGGAAGCACAUCCGGAAUGUGUAUGUGCAGGAAAGAGCAAUCCUUCCAAGAUUAGCACACGUCACACACCAUUAAGAGGAAAUACUUCUGUUAGUCAGGGAGGAAGCGAAGGAGAGAGAGAAAGGAGAAAAAAAGCCUUAGACGCGGAGAUGACAGACAUUCAAGUUCACGGGAGGAAAAUGACAGUAGUGGCCGUGGACGUGCUGGAAGAUCUAAGGAGAGAAGGCCAGCACUGCAUCUUCAGCCUGGGGCUGGUGACGUUCUCAGGGCUCCAAGCUCUUUCCUUUCCGACCCUCUCCUUUUCUCUCCUCUUCUCUAUCGCCUCUUUUCUUUCUUGUUCUAAAAUAAAAAUAGGACUAGUGAAAAGCUUGGCAAAUUGUCUGUCUCUCAGGCUGUUUUUCGUCGAAGGGACUGAAUUUUUCGUUGGC
This 4488-nucleotide long non-coding RNA is filed under the name Equus caballus (horse). RNAcentral's name for it is "lncRNA (ENSECAG00000052587.1)". Lineage: Eukaryota; Metazoa; Chordata; Mammalia; Perissodactyla; Equidae. The record is from RNAcentral.